UACGUAGGGUGCAGGCGUUAAUCGGAAUUACUGGGCGUAAAGCGUGCGCAGGCGGUUUGCUAAGACAGGUGUGAAAUCCCCGGGCUUAACCUGGGAACUGCGCUUGUAACUGGCAAGCUAGAGUGUGGCAGAGGGGGGUGGAAUUCCACGUGUAGCAGUGAAAUGCGUAGAGAUGUGGAGGAACACCGAUGGCGAAGGCAGCCCCCUGGGUCAACACUGACGCUCAUGCACGAAAGCGUGGGGAGCAAACAGG
This 253-nucleotide ribosomal RNA is filed under the name uncultured bacterium. Its description in RNAcentral is "partial 16S ribosomal RNA". It matches the Rfam family "Bacterial small subunit ribosomal RNA", at positions 524 to 776 of the family's 1533-position model. The record is from RNAcentral.